UGGGGAAUCUUCCGCAAUGGACGAAAGUCUGACGGAGCAACGCCGCGUGAGUGAAGAAGGUUUUCGGAUCGUAAAACUCUGUCUUUUGGGGCGAACGUGAGUAUGGUGAACAAUCAUAGUCAGUGACGGUACCAAAGGAGGAAGCCACGGCUAACUACGUGCCAGCAGCCGCGGUAAUACGUAGGUGGCAAGCGUUGUCCGGAAUUAUUGGGCGUAAAGAGCGCGUAGGCGGGAUAGUCAGUCUGUUGUAAAGUGCGGGGCUCAACCCCGUGAUCGCAAUGGAAACAGCUAUUCUUGAGUGCAGGAGAGGAAAGUGGAAUUCCCAGUGUAGCGGUGAAAUGCGUAGAUAUUGGGAGGAACACCAGUGGCGAAGGCGACUUUCUGGACUGUGUCUGACGCUGAGGCGCGAAAGCCAGGGGAGCGAACGGGAUUAGAUACCCCGGUAGUCCUGGCCGUAAACGAUGGGUACUAGGUGUGGGAGGUAUCGACCCCUUCCGUGCCGGAGUUAACGCAAUAAGUACCCCGCCUGGGGAGUCGGUCGCAAGACUGAAACUCAAAGGAAUUGACGGGGUCAUAGCUGUUUCCUG
RNAcentral lists this ribosomal RNA (587 nucleotides) under uncultured bacterium. Its description in RNAcentral is "partial 16S ribosomal RNA". It matches the Rfam family "Bacterial small subunit ribosomal RNA", at positions 355 to 1376 of the family's 1533-position model. The record is from RNAcentral.